AUUAGCUAGUUGGUGAGGUAAUGGCUCACCAAGGCGACGAUGCGUAGCCGACCUGAGAGGGUGAUCGGCCACACUGGGACUGAGACACGGCCCAGACUCCUACGGGAGGCAGCAGUAGGGAAUCUUCCGCAAUGGACGAAAGUCUGACGGAGCAACGCCGCGUGAACGAAGAAGGCCUUCGGGUCGUAAAGUUCUGUUGUUAGGGAAGAACAAGUACCAGAGUAACUGCUGGUACCUUGACGGUACCUAACCAGAAAGCCACGGCUAACUACGUGCCAGCAGCCGCGGUAAUACGUAGGUGGCAAGCGUUGUCCGGAAUUAUUGGGCGUAAAGCGCGCGCAGGUGGUUCCUUAAGUCUGAUGUGAAAGCCCACGGCUCAACCGUGGAGGGUCAUUGGAAACUGGGGAACUUGAGUGC
This 417-nucleotide ribosomal RNA is filed under the name Bacillus sp. BAC91. RNAcentral describes it as "bacterial SSU rRNA". It matches the Rfam family "Bacterial small subunit ribosomal RNA", at positions 240 to 649 of the family's 1533-position model. Lineage: Bacteria; Bacillati; Bacillota; Bacilli; Caryophanales; Bacillaceae. The record is from RNAcentral.